This is a non-coding RNA of Colletotrichum eremochloae, 95 nucleotides long. Lineage: Eukaryota; Fungi; Ascomycota; Sordariomycetes; Glomerellales; Glomerellaceae. The record is from the annotation of a GenBank genome assembly.
GGUGGAGUGUCCGAGUGGUCUAAGGAGCUAGAUUUAGGCCGUAAGGCAUCAGUCUCUAGUGGGCAACCGCGCGAGUUCGAAUCUCGUCUCCAUCA